This 208-nucleotide ribosomal RNA is filed under the name Klebsiella pneumoniae. Its description in RNAcentral is "partial 16S ribosomal RNA". It matches the Rfam family "Bacterial small subunit ribosomal RNA", at positions 192 to 388 of the family's 1533-position model. RNAcentral also lists the same sequence under 2 other names. The record is from RNAcentral. Lineage: Bacteria; Pseudomonadati; Pseudomonadota; Gammaproteobacteria; Enterobacterales; Enterobacteriaceae.
GUCGCAAGACCAAAGUGGGGGACCUUCGGGCCUCAUGCCAUCAGAUGUGCCCAGAUGGGAUUAGCUAGUAGGUGGGGUAAUGGCUCACCUAGGCGACGAUCCCUAGCUGGUCUGAGAGGAUGACCAGCCACACUGGAACUGAGACACGGUCCAGACUCCUACGGGAGGCAGCAGUGGGGAAUAUUGCACAAUGGGCGCAAGCCUGAUG